CAUACGUUUUUUGUGUGAGCCACUAGUUUAUUUAGCCGUGCUUGUUUUUCAAAAGGGUUUGGUGGUUCUUUUCAAAAGGAUUGAAGGGGUUAUAGGGUUUUCUUUCUUCUUUAAUUUGACCCAAUUUUGAUCCUCCAAAGCUCUUCCUCUUUCUUGAAUCUUCAAAUAUAUGUACCUAGCAAAACCCGAUGAAUUACCACCUUCGGCUGCUAUUCUAUAGAGUGAAAUUUUGCAUAUGAGAUUUACACACACUAACUAGGUUUCAUAAGAAUGUAUAAACAGUUUGUGUACUACAAAUGUCCAAGUAUACGUAUAUGCCUGGCUCCCUGUAUGCCAUUUGCAGAGCCCACCGAAGAACCGAUGGCCCUCCGUGUAUGGCGUAUGAGGAGCCAAGCAUAUUCACAUAUCGUAUACACGGUAACUCUCUUUCUCUAUGCCUCGCUUCUAUCGUCUUCGCUACAAUUGUAUUAUAUUUUCAUGGAAGAUAAAUAAAUUUAAUUAAAUCCAAGUAAUCCCUUAAUCUUCUUUCCAUCUUUUAUGUAAUAAGUCUUGAAAUUUUUGUUUAUCAAAUAUUAUCUUGUUACUAAAAAACAUAUGUUAGCUGCAGAAAAUGAUCUAGAGUCGUAAGAAUGAAAGUGAAAUAUGCUUAUGGGAAAAUGAUUCCAUCUGACAGAGAAUUACACGACAGUUUUCCAUUAGACUUGUGUCAAAUCACUUCACGAGGAACAAGGAGCCUGUGCUGCCUGCACAAUUAUAUGUUGUUCAUGUUCCGUUAAGGGUAUCCUCAUUCUUUAUAAACAGACAACAUGAAAGUUACAAAUCUUAUGAUACCCAGUCACUUUACAGUACAUCAUUUUGAUAGAAAUCUCUGUUGUAUUAUCAUCUUGGUGCACCAUUUCCUUGAACUUUUUUUCAUUGUUGUGUCUAAUGUGUUAGUGGUUUUGAUAAAAAUAAGAUUUUUAAUAGAUUUUGAUAAAAAUUGAUAAAAUACAUGGUUAUGACUUGAUAAAAAUGUAAGUCCCAUGAAAUAUAUAAUGGUGGCUGUAUAGCAUCAACCUUGUUCAAGUUCAUCUAAUCCCUCUUUACUUUAUUACAUUGAUAAAAGAGGCCAAAGGACAAUGUAUAUUUUAUAUUCUUUUUACUGAAAUAGUAUAGAUAGCUGUGCAUCCACAGAUGUAUACGGCUAUGAUGGAGUACUACCAUAUGCCACAUAGUCAAUUGGAUGAGUUCAUGACUUUCUAGGUUAAUGUGUAGAUAGAAUAGAGAGGUAGAUGUACUUAAAAGUUUAGGUUCAUCUGCAUAGAAUUUGGGAUAGCGCUUAGCCAAUAAACGUGUAUUUGGCCGUCUUGUGUAUGUAUGGGCAGGGCUUAAGCAACUAAUAUGAGAAAGCAAAAGGGAAUUGCAACCGUGAUUGUGGCUUUUCUGUAACUAGGGAAUCUCAUUUUACUAAGAAAUGAAAUUGUCAUCUUUUUAUAAAAUCACUCAAUUUCGAGUUAAAGCCAUAUUAAUAUAAAGAAAUAGAUGAGCGGACCACAGAAAAUAUGGUCUUUCUCAAGAAUUCAUGGCAUCCAUGAACCUAUCGAUUUUUAUCGUUUUUUUUUUUUUUCAAUGAACAAAAUAAAAUCUAAGAAAUGAUCGCACUCUGUCUCUUCUCUCUCCCCAUUCUCUCUUUCACCCACUAAAAUAAAAUACAUGCAGUGCUAUUUGCAUCUUUUUCUUUAGUUGGUAGGUAGGGUAAAUUUUACAGUCAAUGCAGGUCAAAAGGAUAGUUGGGAUUCUGACAUAAAGAAAAAGUGAUUACUUUGAAGAUAUCCUCAGACCAAUUGGAUUUGGCAAUGAUUCAAUCACUUAAUCAUCUCCCAAACACAAACCCUACCCAUCAACUCCGCAGCCUAGCUAGUAUGCACUAACCAGAACAUUCCCCCUAUAAAUCAGCUUUGUCUAAAAAGAAUAAAAAGAGAAAAAGAGGAAGAGACAUUGUGCUCAGACUGUGCUUAAAAGUAGAUUCUAUCCUCGCACCCCAACACAAACUUCAAUGCACUUUGUUGUUUUUAAUUGCAAGGAGAAACCAUUUCAAGAAUAAUGCAUUUCAGACUUGGAGUUUCGAGAAUUUUGAUUAAGCUUCAGUGCCAUUUAUUCAUGGCAUCACUAUUCAUUUUGAAGGAGGGAAUUGGUGAACACGAAGGGUUUUGUUUUUAACCUAUCUGAUCCAAGUGAUAAUCAAUUUUACCCAACUAAUCAAUAAAUUUGGUAUAGAACGCAGGAAGGAUUAAAAAAUGUAUCCUAGCAAAUUUUUGAAUUUUAAAAUUCAGUAAAUGUUAUUCUUUGUGGAAUGUGUCGCUUGAUAAAAAAUUUGGACCUCGCACCGCCAGCGAUUUUUUCUGCCUAAAUCUUGUAGUGCCAGUGAAGGAGCAGCUUCAAUUUAUUUGAAUUAUUAUAUAAAAAUUCAGCCAAAUGGCAUCAAAUUCUGCCUUCUACUCUUAUUUUUGAAGGAGAACAAUUACAUUAUUGGAAUAGUCAAGCAAUUACUCUGAAGCCUCAAUCGUUUUGGAAGGAUUUUGACAAUCUAAACAUGGAAAAAAGCGAAAAAGUUGGCCAUUUUUCUACACCAGUUUCAGAUCGUGAAUCAAAUCAAAAGUUGUGGAGGUACUGAUAACGGAGAAACUUGAGCUCGAGGAUCAUUUAUGAUAAAUAUGAUGAAGAUGAGAAGAAAUGAGUAUAUUCAAGUGAGGACGAAGUUGGCAAGGAAAAAAGUCGAGUUCCCAAAGGCUGAAGAAGAUAAGAAAGUGAUACGUAACAUUUUGGAGCAAAGAGUCCGUUUGAUUGUAAAGGUAGAAAAUGUAAACCAAUUCCAUGUAAGAUGGAAAAGAAAAAACUACCAAAAUUAUAAGAAUUCGAUUUCCA
RNA transcript from Olea europaea var. sylvestris, 2904 nucleotides. RefSeq lists it as uncharacterized. NCBI's taxonomy places the organism in Eukaryota, Viridiplantae, Streptophyta, Magnoliopsida, Lamiales, Oleaceae. The transcript has 2 exons. The record is from RefSeq and is a predicted model, not a curated record.